This 319-nucleotide ribosomal RNA is filed under the name uncultured eukaryote. Its description in RNAcentral is "partial 18S ribosomal RNA". It matches the Rfam family "Eukaryotic small subunit ribosomal RNA", at positions 1470 to 1796 of the family's 1831-position model. The record is from RNAcentral.
CCCUUAGAUGUUCUGGGCCGCACGCGCGCUACAAUGAUGCAGGCAACGAGUGCUGCUCCUUGGCCGAAAGGCUUGGGGAACCUUGAAAACUGCAUCGUGCUAGGGAUAGAUGAUUGCAAUCGUGCAUCUUGAACGAGGAAUGCCUUGUAAGCGUGAGUCAUCAACUCGCGCUGAAUACGUCCCUGCCCUUUGUACACACCGCCCGUCGCUCCUACUGAUUGGUGAUCCGGUGAAUGAUUCGGACUUCAGCGGCUCCCCUGGGGUGCGCCGGAGAAAGUUUUGUGAACCUUAUCACUUGGAGGAAGGAGAAGUCGUAACA